This 450-nucleotide ribosomal RNA is filed under the name uncultured bacterium. RNAcentral's name for it is "partial 16S ribosomal RNA". It matches the Rfam family "Bacterial small subunit ribosomal RNA", at positions 354 to 796 of the family's 1533-position model. The record is from RNAcentral.
GUGGGGAAUUUUGGACAAUGGGCGCAAGCCUGAUCCAGCAAUGCCGCGUGCAGGAAGAAGGCCUUCGGGUUGUAAACUGCUUUUGUACGGAACGAAACGGUCCUGGUUAAUACCCGGGGCUAAUGACGGUACCGUAAGAAUAAGCACCGGCUAACUACGUGCCAGCAGCCGCGGUAAUACGUAGGGUGCAAGCGUUAAUCGGAAUUACUGGGCGUAAAGCGUGCGCAGGCGGUGCUGUAAGACAGGCGUGAAAUCCCUGGGCUUAACCUGGGAAUUGCGCUUGUGACUGCAGUGCUGGAGUGCGGCAGAGGGGGAUGGAAUUCCGCGUGUAGCAGUGAAAUGCGUAGAUAUGCGGAGGAACACCGAUGGCGAAGGCAAUCCCCUGGGCCUGCACUGACGCUCAUGCACGAAAGCGUGGGGAGCAAACAGGAUUAGAUACCCUGGUAGUCC